GACGAACGCUGGCGGCGUGCUUAACACAUGCAAGUCGAGCGGGUCUGCCCUGUUUUUUGCGGGGUGGGUCAGUGGCGAACGGGUGAGUAACACGUGAGUAACCUGCCCCUCACUUCUGGAUAACCGCUUGAAAGGGUGGCUAAUACGGGGUGUUCUGGCUGUGCCGCAUGGUGUGGCUGGGAAAGAUUCACUUUUGUGGUGUUUUGGUGGGGGAUGGGCUCGCGGCCUAUCAGCUUGUUGGUGGGGUGAUGGCCUGCCAAGGCUUUGACGGGUAGCCGGCCUGAGAGGGUGGGCGGUCACACUGGGACUGAGAUACGGCCCAGACUCCUGCGGGAGGCAGCAGUGGGGGGUAUUGCACAAUGGGCGGAAGCCUGAUGCAGCGACGUCGCGUGAGGGAUGGAGGCCUUCGGGUUGUGAACCUCUUUCGCCGGUGAAGAAGGUCCUGCUCUUUGGGGUGGGGUUGACGGUAGCCGGGUUAUGAAGCGCCGGCUAACUACGUG
This 500-nucleotide ribosomal RNA is filed under the name uncultured bacterium. RNAcentral's name for it is "partial 16S ribosomal RNA". It matches the Rfam family "Bacterial small subunit ribosomal RNA", at positions 28 to 507 of the family's 1533-position model. The record is from RNAcentral.